UACGUAGGGUGCGAGCGUUGUCCGGAAUUAUUGGGCGUAAAGAGCUUGUAGGCGGUUUGUCGCGUCUGCUGUGAAAUUCCAGGGCUUAACCCGUGGCUGCAGUGGGUACGGGCAGACUAGAGUGUGGUAGGGGAGACUGGAAUUCCUGGUGUAGCGGUGAAAUGCGCAGAUAUCAGGAGGAACACCGAUGGCGAAGGCAGGUCUCUGGGCCACUACUGACGCUGAGAAGCGAAAGCAUGGGGAGCGAACAGG
Molecule: ribosomal RNA, 252 nt
Filed under: uncultured bacterium
Lineage: Bacteria
Description: partial 16S ribosomal RNA
Rfam family: Bacterial small subunit ribosomal RNA
Source: RNAcentral